This 496-nucleotide ribosomal RNA is filed under the name uncultured bacterium. Its description in RNAcentral is "partial 16S ribosomal RNA". It matches the Rfam family "Bacterial small subunit ribosomal RNA", at positions 28 to 506 of the family's 1533-position model. The record is from RNAcentral.
GAUGAACGCUGGCGGCGUGCCUAAUACAUGCAAGUCGAGCGAACAGAUGAGGAGCUUGCUCCUCUGACGUUAGCGGCGGACGGGUGAGUAACACGUGGAUAACCUACCUAUAAGACUGGGAUAACUUCGGGAAACCGGAGCUAAUACCGGAUAAUAUAUUGAACCGCAUGGUUCAAUAGUGAAAGACGGUUUUGCUGUCACUUAUAGAUGGAUCCGCGCCGCAUUAGCUAGUUGGUAAGGUAACGGCUUACCAAGGCAACGAUGCGUAGCCGACCUGAGAGGGUGAUCGGCCACACUGGAACUGAGACACGGUCCAGACUCCUACGGGAGGCAGCAGUAGGGAAUCUUCCGAAAUGGGCGAAAGCCUGACGGAGCAACGCCGCGUGAGUGAUGAAGGUCUUCGGAUCGUAAAACUCUGUUAUUAGGGAAGAACAAAUGUGUAAGUAACUAUGCACGUCUUGACGGUACCUAAUCAGAAAGCCACGGCGAACUACGU